UUUAUGGAGAGUUUGAUCCUGGCUCAGGACGAACGCUGGCGGCGUGCCUAAUACAUGCAAGUCGAGCGAACAGAGAAGGAGCUUGCUCCUUUGACGUUAGCGGCGGACGGGUGAGUAACACGUGGGCAACCUACCCUAUAGUUUGGGAUAACUCCGGGAAACCGGGGCUAAUACCGAAUAAUCU
This is a ribosomal RNA of 184 nucleotides. It matches the Rfam family "Bacterial small subunit ribosomal RNA", at positions 1 to 179 of the family's 1533-position model.